Molecule: long non-coding RNA, 1180 nt
Filed under: Homo sapiens (human)
Lineage: Eukaryota; Metazoa; Chordata; Mammalia; Primates; Hominidae
Description: APRG1 tumor suppressor candidate, transcript variant D (APRG1)
Source: RNAcentral
GGGAGAAAGGGAUGAGGAUGUUGGAUAAGCAGCUCAGCAUGUUCCCCAACAUGUAAGGGAAUCAGGUCGAGUUCUACACUCUCCUUCUUGGUACACAUCCUCAGAAUGCAGGAAGUGCCUGUGCUUGCUGUGAGUCUUUGUGGACAGAGGCAGGAUCAUGCUGGCUAGAAUCUAGUGGACAAGGGCAGCACAUUCCCCCUGUUCCCAGGUGGGUCCAGAGAUGUCGCCUGGGAGCCAGGGCCUGGAGUUCUGUUACUGUGGCUGAGCUUGCACCCAAGCUACAAGAUGACAUCCUACUCUUCCCUCACCUUUCUACAAGUAGAGGAGUCUCUUCUCAUGGCCACCAUUGUCCCAGGAUGUGAGGUCUGGAACAGCUGCAGCCAUUUUGCCACCAUGGGAAACCUGGGACAUCUGAACUGACUCCAUGAAGCCUGAAGAGAAAGCUAAUAAGAAGGCAGAGAGAAGAGGAAGAGUCUUGGUCUUUGGAAAUAUCUUUUGGAGCUGCUGGAUCAAGUAUCACUUGAAGGUAAGAAAACUGAAGUUCAGAAAAGGGAGGGGACUGACUCAAUCCCAGCUGCUGGCAGAUCUGGGACUGCAAACCAGCCUUCCAUUGCUCCACACAGGUGUCUCUUCUCACGUGGAAUCACAGCAUUGGAUGGACUGAAAAGAGGAAGAGGCUGCAAUGGAGCAGCACACCUGGUGCGUGGGGAUGCCUGGAAAACAAAAUUAGGAGAGCCCUGGGUCAGCAUUGCUCUGGCACUGGCUGGGCCGGGGGCCAUCCUGAUUCUAGAAUUAUCUUGGUUCCUGGGAUAGAAAUGUCCCCAGAGUGGAGAAGUUCAGUUCAAUCCAACAUCCUUAUAUUGCAAUGAGGAUAAAGACCACAGACCCUAUGGCCUGUAUGACCCAGCUGCCCAUUUCUAGGAACCCAUUCCUACAGAAAUGACAACAUGCGUGUGCAAACAGCAACAAUGACAAACAUACCCUGGGAUGCUUUCCCUCUGUGGUUUGUUAUAGUAAGAUAGCGGCUACAGCUUAUAUAUCAUCAACAGAGGACUGGCUAAAUGAUGGCACUUCAUUCUGCAGAAUCUUUUUUUGUAGUCAAAAAGAACAAGUUAGAUCUAUAUGUGUGAACAUGGAAAGGUGUACAUGACUUAAGUAGAAAAAUUAAGUUGCAGAACGA